Molecule: non-coding RNA, 971 nt
Organism: Callithrix jacchus (white-tufted-ear marmoset)
Lineage: Eukaryota; Metazoa; Chordata; Mammalia; Primates; Cebidae
Source: RefSeq, a predicted model, not a curated record
AUUCAAGUUCAAAAUAUGGCAACUUUGAAAGGUAUUAUGAGGCAACUAAAGUUCAUCUAAAAUAUCCAGUAAUUUACCAAGUCUAUGAAAAUGGUAGCAGCAGCAAAAUACACCUGAGCUCUGAGAGAGCUGAAACAUGCUCAAAUAUAUAGAUUGGAAACUUUGGCUCUGUAUGAAAAAGCUGGUAUCAAGGUGCCUGAAGACAAGAAGAAACAUGGUGCUAUUCAUUCCUCCAUUGCUAAACAGAUGGAAAGCGAGGUUGCUACACUAACACUAGCUUGGAAAGAAGUUACGCUGGUUGGAAUGGGUGACAAAAUCAGAGGCAUACUUUAUAGGACUCAUUCUGACCAGUUUCUAGUGGCAUUCAAAGAAAUGGGAAGAAAGCCUCCUACUUUUGGAGAUGUGCCAGCCAUUGCUUUUGAAUUACUCAAUUUUGUAUACGAAUUUGAUGAAGUCUCCAUCAACUUUAAUCGAUUCAGGUCUAUCAUCUUUAAGACAGAAGAAAAGCCCAUCUUUUCCCUUAACACCAUUGAAAGUGCUGAGAGCACGAGUAUCUAAACGAUAUGGAUGCUGAUGUGCUGCAAAAUUACCAAGGAUACAAUCUGGCCAACAUCAUCUACUACUCUCUGAAAGAGUCCACCACCAGUGAGCAGAGUGCCAGGAUGACAGCCAGGGAUAACGCCAGCAAGAAUGCUUCUGAGAUGAUUGACAAAUUGACACUGACAUUCAACCGUACUGGCCAAGCUGUCAUCACAAAAGAGUUGAUUGAAAUUAUCUCUGGUGCUGAAGCUCUGGAUUAAUGAAAAUGAAGUUCCAUCCUCAGAGAAGAGGUAAGGAAGGAAAAUUCAGCCAGGUGAUUUUGUUUUUAGCUUACUGCUGUCUUCGUCAGAAGAAAGUGUUCCUCCAUUGUUUGAAUUACUGAAGACAGUAAGGUAUUUGUAAAUUAUCUUACAAUAAACAACUUAAAAUAA